Molecule: ribosomal RNA, 253 nt
Filed under: uncultured bacterium
Lineage: Bacteria
Description: partial 16S ribosomal RNA
Rfam family: Bacterial small subunit ribosomal RNA
Source: RNAcentral
UACAGAGGUCCCGAGCGUUGUUCGGAUUCCCUGGGCGUAAAGGGUGCGCAGGUGGGUUGGCCAGUUUGAUGUGAAAGCCCCGGGCUUAACCCGGGAAUGGCAUUGAAUACUGCUGAUCUGGAGGAUUGGAGGGGGGACUGGAAUUCUUGGUGUAGCAGUGAAAUGCGUAGAUAUCAAGAGGAACACCAGUGGCGAAGGCGAGUCCCUGGACAAUACCUGACACUGAGGCACGAAAGCUAGGGGAGCAAACAGG